CCCGAACCGAAGACCAGGUCGCGCGUGCAUCAAAUCCCUAGCCCAACUCCUCCAACGCCCCCAAUUCCGGCCGCCGGCGUGAUCCGCUCCGGCUAAUCGCCACAUCGCCGCCGGUGUGCUCCUCGACGCUGGACCCAACUCCUCUGCUCGACGUCCUCCAUUCCCGCGGGCACGGCCGCGUUCGUUGGCGGCCCAGGUCGCGGCACCGUCGUAGCUGCUCGUCGGCCUGCUCCUCGACGCCGGCCUGCUCGUGGCUCUCCAUCCCCGCCGGCACCCACCAUGUUUUCCGGCGGCCAAGCUCGCGGCGCCACGCCAUCUACCCUUGUCAUGCCGCUGCCCAUGGCAAUGCUCCUCGGCCACAUUCGCGGCGCUGCCGGCUUAUUGUACAGGCUUCAUACGCCCCUUGGCUCCGGCCAACCGUUUCGACGCUGCUGUGUCACCCUGGUCGCUUCUCGGCAAACAGC
RNAcentral lists this ribosomal RNA (464 nucleotides) under Triticum aestivum (bread wheat). RNAcentral's name for it is "partial small subunit ribosomal RNA". Lineage: Eukaryota; Viridiplantae; Streptophyta; Magnoliopsida; Poales; Poaceae. The record is from RNAcentral.